RNAcentral lists this ribosomal RNA (2232 nucleotides) under Triticum aestivum (bread wheat). Its description in RNAcentral is "partial small subunit ribosomal RNA". Lineage: Eukaryota; Viridiplantae; Streptophyta; Magnoliopsida; Poales; Poaceae. The record is from RNAcentral.
AUGGCGGCGCUGCCCUGCUUUCGCUUUGGUCUCCUCCGCCUGGCCACCUUGGUUGCCAUGCUGGUGCAACAAGCCCGUCUGGUGCCUGUGGCCAUGGCGCAAACCAAUAACCUGACCGCGGGAGACGCCUUGACGCCGCCCCGGUACAUCACCAGUCCGUCCGGCGGCUUCGCCUUCGGCUUCCGCGCCCUCGACUCCGACCCGACAAAGUUCGUCCUCGCCACAUGGUUCCGCUUCGCGGACGACGCCAACUCCUCCCAGCCGCAGCCGCAGUCCGUGGUGUGGUUCCUGAAACAGACGACCAUGGGUAGCGCGCUCGUCGCCACCGCGACGUCCGUCCUCAACAUCACGGGCGACGGCCGCCUCAGGCUCACAGACCGCGGCGACCAAGAGCUGUGGAGCGCCACGACUGGCAUGCAGCGCGGGUCCGUCCUCGCGCUGAGCGACUCCGGCAACGUCCAGUUCCUCGGCGACGGCGACAUCGUGCUCUGGGAGAGCUUCCGGAACCCGACGGACACGCUGCUCCCAGGGCAGCCCUUGUCCUCGAGUUACUCGCCAGGGGGAUUCCUCGUCUCCAAGCGCGCGGACACGGAGUUCGGGACGGGACGGUUCAGCCUGGCAGUCCAGCCCGACGGCAACGUCGUCCUCUACCUCGACCUCUUCACCGCUGACUACAGAACGACCAACGCCUACUGGGCUACGCGCACCUACGGCCCCAAUGGCAACACGACCGUCACCUUCGACAACCAGGGUUUCCUCAACUACACGCUUCAAGAUGGCAGCGUUCACGGUUUGAUUUCGCCGAAAGGUUCCAACGGCGGCAACUACUUGCAGUUGGGGAGGAUGGACACUGACGGCAUCGUCCGCACCUACACCCGCUCUAGAUACGGUAGCGGGGCCACGCCUUGGACAGUGUCGGGAGCACUCCCCGGUGACGGAGGCUGCAACAGGGCAACGUCCUCGAGGCAAGGCUUGUGCGGCCCGGGGUCUUACUGCGUGCAGACGAUAGACAGGCUCAGCUGCCUGUGCCCCACUGGCUACACCUACAUCGACGCGCAGCACACCAAUAUCGGCUGCACGCCGGAGUUCGGCCCGUCGGCGAGGAGAAAGAUACUACGUCCCUACAAGAUCGUCACCGUUUGCCUGUUCUGUCUCCUGUUGAUCACCAUCGGCGGCCUCGUGGCACAGCAUUACCUCAUCAGAACCAGUGAUAGCCAGCGGCCGUUGAACUCUGGUGUGAGAGUAUUCAGCUGGAAGGAGCUCUACCAAGCCACCAAUGGAUUCGAGAGUCUGCUGGGCAAAGGGAGCUUCGGGGAGGUCUACAAAGGGACGAUAAGAUCGCCACAGCCGCAUCUCAUCGCGGUGAAAAAGCUCAUCGACUCCAACGAGUACAGUGAGCAGGAAUUCACAAACGAGGUGCAGUCCAUCGGGCAGAUCCACCACCGGAACCUGGUCCGUAUGAUCGGCUACUGCAAAGAAGGCAGACACCGGAUGUUGGUCUUCGAGUUCAUGCCGGGCGGGUCGCUCCGUAGCGUCCUCUUCGUCGACCAAGAGAGGCGGCCCCUGUGGAGCUGGCGUGUUGAGGCCGCCCUCGCCAUCGCCCGGGGGCUCGAGUACCUCCACGAUGGCUGCAGCGCCCCUAUCAUCCACUGCGACAUCAAGCCCGACAACAUCCUGCUGGACGACCAUGGCGUCCCGAGGAUCACCGACUUUGGGAUCUCCAAGCUGCUCGGGAGCCAGCAAGUGCACACCACGGUGACCAACGUCAGGGGCACCAGAGGAUACAUCGCGCCCGAGUGGCUCCGCAGCGAUGCGCGUGUGGACACCAAGGCGGACGUGUAUAGCUUCGGCGUCGUGCUACUGGAGAUGAUUUGCUGCCGGAGGUGCCAGGAGCGCGUGGUGCAGGACACGUUGCCGGCAGGCGCGGGAGAUGACGACGAGACAGUCACGCUGUUCGGUUGGGCGGCGCAACUGGUGGUAGCACGGAGGACGGAGCUGAUGUUGGACGGCGACCCGGACGUUGAGACAGUGGAGGACAAGCAGAGGGUGGAGCAGUUUGCGCGCGUGGCGCUGUGGUACAUGGAGCCCAACCCGCCGCUGCGGCCAACCAUGCACCAGGUGGUGCAAAUGCUGGAGACCAGGAAUCAGGCUCAGAUUCAGGCAGCACUCCCUGACCGUCCGGACUGUUACAUAGAAUCCUCACCUUUAAUUCCUCAGCUCAAGAUUGAAUGA